RNAcentral lists this unclassified non-coding RNA (400 nucleotides) under uncultured fungus. RNAcentral describes it as "sequence contains ITS1". The stretch from base 1 to 101 matches the Rfam family "5.8S ribosomal RNA", at positions 50 to 154 of the family's 154-position model. Lineage: Eukaryota; Fungi. The record is from RNAcentral.
GAAGUGCGAGAAGUGUCAUGACUUGCAGAUUCCCGAGAGCUGACAAGAUUCUGAAUGCAAAUGGCGGCCGUAUCAAAACGGCCAUGUAUUGCAGAGUGUAGUUGUUCAUACUCAUCAUCCCCAAUCAUCUUCUCUCUCUCCGUUCUCUCUUCAUUGAGAGAAUGGUCAAGUGUGUUGAUGAUUGUGAUUGGGAUCUGCGCUUGCGAGAGAGACAUCAUACUCUCAUUAACGCGAGCGUGAAAUCAGGAGUCCUUUGUAUCUGACAUCUGUCAUAUACAAAAGGGAACUUCGAAACAAGGUCCACAUCUCUGUGUGAACCCUCUGAAUCAGAAGUUUGAUACUGAACUCCAAGUCCAACAAUUUAAACAGCCACCUCUGCGAUGCAGGAGAACCCGCUGAA